RNAcentral lists this ribosomal RNA (441 nucleotides) under uncultured bacterium. RNAcentral describes it as "partial 16S ribosomal RNA". It matches the Rfam family "Bacterial small subunit ribosomal RNA", at positions 339 to 795 of the family's 1533-position model. The record is from RNAcentral.
CUACGGGCCGCACCAGUGAGGAAUAUUGCACAAUGGGGGGAACCCUGAUGCAGCAACGCCGCGUGGAGGAUGACGCAUUUCGGUGUGUAAACUCCUUUUAUAUGUCAAGAAAAUGACGGUAGCAUAUGAAUAAGCACCGGCUAACUCCGUGGCCAGCAGCCGCGGUAAUACGGGAGGGUGCAAGCGUUACUCGGAAUCACUGGGCGUAAAGGACGCGUAGGCGGGUUGGAAAGUCAGGUGUGAAAUCCUACAGCUUAACUGUAGAACUGCACUUGAAACUUCUAAUCUAGAGUAUGGGAGGGGGAGGUGGAAUUAGUGGUGUAGGGGUAAAAUCCGUAGAUAUCACUAGGAAUACCUAAAGCGAAGGCGAUCUCCUGGAACAUUACUGACGCUAAGGCGUGAAAGCGUGGGGAGCAAACAGGAUUAGAUACCCUCGUAGUC